This 56-nucleotide transfer RNA is filed under the name Cyriopagopus schmidti (Chinese earth tiger). Its description in RNAcentral is "Haplopelma schmidti (Chinese earth tiger) tRNA-Tyr". The record is from RNAcentral. Lineage: Eukaryota; Metazoa; Arthropoda; Arachnida; Araneae; Theraphosidae.
ACUCAAAAAAUCAUAAUGAUGGAAGGCUGUAAACCUUUAUUUUCCACUUUUAACCU